This 372-nucleotide long non-coding RNA is filed under the name Rosa chinensis. RNAcentral describes it as "sRNA RchiOBHm_Chr2g0106141". The record is from RNAcentral. Lineage: Eukaryota; Viridiplantae; Streptophyta; Magnoliopsida; Rosales; Rosaceae.
AUGUUAAAACUGAAGAAGAAUGGGCUUUUUUGUGCACUUAUUUUUCUAGUGAAGAUUUUCAGAUUGUUUCAGAGAAAAAUUCUAUUAAUAGGUCACAUUUGAAAUAUCACCAUAAAGCAGGGUCGAAGUCUUUUAUGUCGCAUCAAGAACAGAUUGCUGCACAAUCAGGGGAGAUGCUAGGUGCAAUUGAACGCUUUGAAAUGGAGUACAAAAGCAUUAAAAAAGGUUGGGACUUGGGAGCGAAAGAAUUAUGGGAUCAAAUGGUUAAGAUGCGAACUGAGACAACCCUUCCUGAUGGGACUCGAACUAUGAAUGAUGAUGAAAUAUGUGCAAAGGUUCUUGGAGUAAAAUCAGGCUACAUCAAGGGUUGUG